RNAcentral lists this long non-coding RNA (216 nucleotides) under Setaria italica (foxtail millet). RNAcentral describes it as "long non-coding RNA (SITA_LNC001193)". Lineage: Eukaryota; Viridiplantae; Streptophyta; Magnoliopsida; Poales; Poaceae. The record is from RNAcentral.
CUGCAUCAAUGCCUUUCCCUGCUCGAUCAGAAUACAACGCUGGAGGAUGCCGGUGUGGCUCCGCUUAUAGAGCUCUUGGUCGAUGAUGAUGAAGGAUUUGGCUCAGCAUGCAAUCCUUCGCGCCUCCAUCUUGUCCGUUGGGAGCGACUCACGGAUGAGGUAAUCGAGGUACGGGGUUCUCCAGUCAGGCGGGGGGCCCCGCCUCCAUGAUCUCGG